UACGGAGGAUCCGAGCGUUAUCCGGAUUUAUUGGGUUUAAAGGGAGCGUAGGUGGAUUGUUAAGUCAGUUGUGAAAGUUUGCGGCUCAACCGUAAAAUUGCAGUUGAAACUGGCAGUCUUGAGUACAGUAGAGGUAGGCGGAAUUCCCGGUGUAGCGGUGAAAUGCGUAGAGAUCGGGAGGAACACCAGUGGCGAAGGCGGCCUACUGGGCUUUAACUGACGCUGAGGCACGAAAGCGUGGGUAGCAAACAGG
Molecule: ribosomal RNA, 253 nt
Filed under: uncultured Bacteroides sp.
Lineage: Bacteria; Pseudomonadati; Bacteroidota; Bacteroidia; Bacteroidales; Bacteroidaceae
Description: partial 16S ribosomal RNA
Rfam family: Bacterial small subunit ribosomal RNA
Source: RNAcentral